RNAcentral lists this ribosomal RNA (3744 nucleotides) under Triticum aestivum (bread wheat). Its description in RNAcentral is "partial small subunit ribosomal RNA". Lineage: Eukaryota; Viridiplantae; Streptophyta; Magnoliopsida; Poales; Poaceae. The record is from RNAcentral.
AUGAUUAAUCCUCAUCCUUUCCUUGGGAGACAAAGGGUAGGCACGUUUGCCGCGCACGCGAAGAGGUCCUGGCUCGGCCUCGCCGAGGACACCGCAACCACCUUGCCCCGUCUCGGCCUAGGGCGCACUUCGGGAAGGAGAAAACAAACAUCUUCCUUCUCUGGCACCGAAGGGGGUCCCUACCCCCUCGCCAUGGCUCGUGGCGCCGUAUCGUCGGGAUCCAGAGAAAGCUCACCCGAGAGAUGGAAUAAUGUCGUCCUCUCUUCGCUAGGUGACCACCGGGCGACCCCCUCAAUUUGGGAAGUGCCUGCCAGUUUCACCGCCACAGGAAUACACCCAACUAGUUGGAGAAGAUUGCUUCAAGUUGUCGAACGCCGAAAGGGAUGCAGCACACCCCACCCCUCACCUGCAGACCCUCCCAUCCGAACCCAAUGUCCUUGGCGCCGCCUCCAGGAAUGUUACGAUGCACGGGGUGCCACCGACGCCCGAUCCGCAUCGGAUCUUGGGCUUUCACCCGGACAUGGGUCGGAGUGGAGAGAUGGUGUCCUCAGUAGCGCCCCCAAGGAGGAAAGCGGCGCCAAAAGACGACGUCGCUGCUGCCGGCCAGCCAAGGCGGCCAAGGGUUCCCUCGGACACCAAUCUGCUCCACCAGAACACACCAGAGGCAGAUCUGGCAAGAUCCAAAGCCGAACCGGGGACUGGGAGGGGAAGCAUGGAGGGGAGGGGGCAAUACCUUCAGAUCUAGCACGGGAAGCUCCGCACCGUGCUCGACCACCACCUAGACGGGAGCGGGGGGAGGGGGUGCACCUCUCUUCUUCCCCUUCUCCACCACUGACCGACCGUAGGAAUAGGAUGCCUCUGCUUCCCGUGCGGGCUGCGGCCUCGCCCAUGCAUAGCGCCGCCGGCCGCCGCAUCUCCUGCGCCAUCAGCCCCUUUGUCCACGAUGCGCCACCGCGUGCGCGAGCUCCACUGGAUAAUACUGGAAUAGCCAGACAUGGCCGCCUCAUCUCGACGCCUUUCGCCUUGUCCGACGACCUCCUGCCUCUCAACCGGCUCCGGGGGAUGACUUGGAAUGGGUGGGAAGCGCAGAGGCCGGGCACAAGAGCAGUCAACAUUGGCGCCCCACAUCACAUGGCCACGAAGGAGCAGCAAGAAGAAAAUUCUAGCACGGUUCGGUUUGCAAGGUUCGACGAAUCUAGAGCCUGCGAGUCUUGCAUCUGGUCAAAUAUAUCUGCUACGAAUGUUCAGCAUCUUGUUUCUGCUGGGCCAUCAGACUUACACGCGGUGCUUCCGGGAAUUAACUUCAUGAAUCCAGCCAAGCAUUUGCGGCAGGCAAACCGUGCAAUGGUUCUCCGGGAACAAUCAACAAUAUCAGUAGACUAUUUAUCUGUGAAGGACAUCAGCCCCUGUAACUGGACUGGCGUUGCCUGCAACAAUGACCAGGGUGACCCUGCCGUAGUUGUGCGGUGGAUUCAACUUCCACAUUGGGGCCUUGUUGGCAGGUUGGACAGGCUCCACUUUGCAGACUUGCCUCAUCUUGUCUAUCUAAACCUUGGAGACAACUCUCUCUCGGGGCCAAUCCCAUCAAGUAUUGGUGCUCUUGCGGAGCUCAACUACUUGGAUCUAUCUAGGAAUGGCCUGAAGGGAUCUAUCCCAACAUCCAUAGGUUAUGGAUCUGUCUUCAGAGUUGAGCUGGAAGACAGGAUGAUCUUUGUUGUAAAGGAGGUGCACCAGAGGUGGAAGGCGCGUCAGGGGAAACAUCCUCAGUACAAGGGCGGCGAGUAUAGUGGAGAGGAAACGGUGAGAGAGGGCGACAGACUUGAGAUGAUGGUGGAGAGGUGGAGGAGGAGGAUGGGAAAGAUGGUGUCGGUGCCGGCCGGACGCUUGGAAACAGAGCAGCCUGGUGACCUGCCACCGUUGUCGUGCCUCCUCCCCCACCAGCCAUGGCCACGGCAGAGGCGGACUCCCACAGCUCGCGCGGCUCCCUGCCUGCGCCACCUAGGCCCUAAUCUGGUCACACACCGACAGGGUCAGCACCACCGGAGCCCACCGUGCCCCACCAAGCCUCAACCCCUUCAUGCCGCCACCAGCAGCCCGCGUCUCUGCUUCCUGCUGCUGCCGCUGCACCCCGAGAAAAAUGCUGCGCCGCUGCCAGAUCUUGGAUCCCGCGUUCGUUGGCCCGAGCGGGCGAAGGAGGAACUGAACCUAACUUGUACAAGAGUUGAGCGAGGGGAUGUCCCGCAGAUCAAACCAGUCACCCGUAGGCUCGCAUCGGCGCCAUGCGCCACCUCUCGCCGUAGACGUCGCCACCGGAGGUUCACCGUCGAGGCCACCGGCUGCGUCCCUGCCCUUCCUCAUCUCCCUCACUUCUGUUCGUCUCUAGCUCCUCACCUUCGAAGCUCUCUCUCCCUGGAACCGCAGCUAGCCAGGAAGGAGGUCAGCUGCCACCGGCGUCCCUCCGACUCGCCGGAGCCGCCCGUGGUCGACCCAUCCGGCUGCCAUCCGCCAGAUCCAUCCCAGCCCCGCCGGAGUCGUCCGUCGUCGACCCAUCCGGCUGACUUCGGCCAGAUCCACGCCAGCCCCGCCGGAGUCCACGCUCUCACCGUUCCGCUGCCGCCGCCACACUGCUUUGACCACAUCGCUAGCUCCGUAUCUGUUUGCGAUCGGGUUGUAUUUUUCCUUGGAUUAAGGAAGCGAUCUAUAUGGGGGUGUACGCCGCGGGACAAUUUGCUUCGGCAGAGUUUUCGUCCGCCAGUCAGAGGGUGCCUCAACAUCCCUUGGUCGGGAACAGAGAACGAGGGGCAGAGCCAAAACGGGAGUGAAAUCGGAUGGACUGACGAAAUCAACAUCACCUGGUCGCUGGAGUUUCUGCGCAUGCCGGGCCCAUGGUCGAGGUGUAGCGGCACUCGUAAUGCUGUAGUAGCCGUGUCGCCUGCGAUUGCCUCCCUGGUGGCUGCUGGAGUGGCUCCACCAUCCUCAUACAUGCUUGAACUUGAAUGGAAUAGACGCAUCCUAGCUACUAAGAGUUCGGCUGGUAUGGGGCUGCCAUGGUCGGCUUGUAUGGGCAACCCAUGUAACGAGGUUAUACACCAUGCCAGGAACCUUCUCAGGACGGGUGAACAAAAUAUAGUAAAAUUUUGUUGUUCCCUGUUUAACAACCUUCAAUUGCAAGCCGAGACAGAAGCUCUUCGUUUGCUCAUUCUCCCUGAUCUGAAAUUAUGGGUGAUGGCAGAUGCGCAGAAUUAUGUGCCUGGAGAAGACUUCUCUAGAGAUUUUGAGAUGUUCUUCUACGCUCCCGUUACUGUCGGAGCUGAGAAGUUCGAAAUGGGUGUAAAGAAUAUAGGGAAGUUCAGCAAUUUUCAGCACAGAUGGUACAGCAGUUCUGCAAAUGAGUUCAGCAUGAGGACAAGACAUAAAAAGGUGAAAAAGGAAGAAGAAGAAGAAAAGGCUGGCGACAUGGGGGCGUGGGCGCAGGGGACAAAACAUGUCAUCGUAAUCUCACCUUCUCCUACGCUCCGGGCCCUUGUCGCCCUUGACGCGCCGCCGUAUCUGCGAGCUCCCCCGCCAGCGCUGUCGAGUAUGCAACUGAGCGGCCUCGGGUCACGCCGUUCGCCUGCCCGACCUCACCUCUCUCAGUCGGCUCCGGAGAGAGGAGGACAUCGGAUCGGAUGGGAGGUGCCACGGGCCCACGACCAGGAGCAGGUGCGCAGCUUCCCCAAAUCCAAUCAAGUCGCAUUUCCUUAA